UUCCGGUUGAUCCCGCCGGAGGCCACUGCUAUCGGGGUUCGAUUAAGCCAUGCGAGUCGAGAGGUGAAAGACCUCGGCGUACUGCUCAGUAACACGUGGACAACCUACCCUAAGGAGGGGGAUAACCCCGGGAAACUGGGGAUAAUACCCCAUAGACUAGAGAAGCUGGAAUGCUCUCAAGUCCAAAGGUCCGCCGCCUUAGGAUGGGUCUGCGGUCGAUUAGGUUGUUGUUGGGGUAACGGCCCAACAAGCCCGUGAUCGAUACGGGUUGUGAGAGCAAGAGCCCGGAGAUGGAUUCUGAGACACGAAUCCAGGCCCUACGGGGCGCAGCAGGCGCGAAAACUUUACAAUGCGGGAAACCGUGAUAAGGGAACCCCGAGUGCCCGUAAAUUCGGGCUGUCCAUCAGCGUAAAUAACUGGUGAAGAAAGGGCCGGGCAAGACCGGUGCCAGCCGCCGCGGUAAUACCGGCGGCUCGAGUGGUGGCCACUAUUAUUGGGCUUAAAGCGUCCGUAGCUUGGUUGUUAAGUCUCUUGGGAAAUCUACCGGCUCAACCGGUAGGCGUUCAGGAGAUACUGGCAAUCUAGGGACCGGGAGAGGUGAGAGGUACUCCAGGGGUAGGAGUGAAAUCCUGUAAUCCUUGGGGGACCACCUGUGGCGAAGGCGUCUCACUAGAACGGCUCCGACAGUGAGGGACGAAAGCUGGGGGAGCAAACCGGAUUAGAUACCCGGGUAGUCCCAGCUGUAAACGAUGCGCGUUAGGUGUAUCGGUGACCACGAGUCACCGAGGUGCCGAAAGGAAACCGUGAAACGUGCCGCCUGGGAAGUACGGUCGCAAGGCUGAAACUUAAAGGAAUUGGCGGGGGAGCACA
This 870-nucleotide ribosomal RNA is filed under the name uncultured archaeon. RNAcentral's name for it is "bacterial SSU rRNA". It matches the Rfam family "Archaeal small subunit ribosomal RNA", at positions 1 to 880 of the family's 1478-position model. The record is from RNAcentral.